This is a long non-coding RNA of Zea mays, 575 nucleotides long. RefSeq lists it as uncharacterized. The record is from RefSeq and is a predicted model, not a curated record. The transcript is spliced from 2 exons. Lineage: Eukaryota; Viridiplantae; Streptophyta; Magnoliopsida; Poales; Poaceae.
GCGGAUUGCAGACUCGUGGUGUUGGUGCCACGCGCGAGGAUGCGGUGGCGGCGGCCAAUGGAAGGCGGAUGCAACGUCCCUUUGCCGACAAUGAGCCACCGCGUGGCGUGAGUCGGUGUCUGUCGCCUGACGAAGACGCAGCGUUCAAGAACAAGAACAAUAGUAUUUCAGAUUAGCAACACUUCAUCUUCAGAGAACACUUCUUCGUCAAUAGGGAGUAUUUCGAGACUCGAGAGGGCUUUAGAAGAGGAAGAAAGGAUAUGGCAGCCGAAGAAACGUUUGACAGGUUGCUGCUAAAUGAAUUGUGUGGUGAGUUCUGGAGGCAAUCGUUCUCAUCAAUUGAAAAUAACUAAAACGAUCUCCGGUACUGAGGAUCCUGCUGUUUAGCGGAGAUCCUUUGUAAAAUUGUUUUUUGUUUUGUCUCUUUGUUCAGGCAACAUGUUGUGUUCCCGAUAAAAGAGAUGGACGUGGAAGAGCUCUGUACCUGAACUUUUUGCUUUGAGAGAGAGCAAUUUGUGUAUCUGAACUUUGACGCAGAUAUGGCAGAAUAAAAAUGGAGAGGCGUAUUAUUAAUC